RNAcentral lists this transfer RNA (64 nucleotides) under Clione limacina. RNAcentral describes it as "tRNA-Phe". The record is from RNAcentral. Lineage: Eukaryota; Metazoa; Mollusca; Gastropoda; Pteropoda; Clionidae.
UAUUUCUAUAGCUUAAUAAGAGUACAACACUGAAGAUGUUGGGGUGGAUGAUUCCUGGAAAUAU